Molecule: ribosomal RNA, 1086 nt
Filed under: Escherichia coli
Lineage: Bacteria; Pseudomonadati; Pseudomonadota; Gammaproteobacteria; Enterobacterales; Enterobacteriaceae
Description: partial 23S ribosomal RNA
Rfam family: Bacterial large subunit ribosomal RNA
Source: RNAcentral
GAUUUCCGAAUGGGGAAACCCAGUGUGUUUCGACACACUAUCAUUAACUGAAUCCAUAGGUUAAUGAGGCGAACCGGGGGAACUGAAACAUCUAAGUACCCCGAGGAAAAGAAAUCAACCGAGAUUCCCCCAGUAGCGGCGAGCGAACGGGGAGGAGCCCAGAGCCUGAAUCAGUGUGUGUGUUAGUGGAAGCGUCUGGAAAGGCGCGCGAUACAGGGUGACAGCCCCGUACACAAAAAUGCACAUAUUGUGAGCUCGAUGAGUAGGGCGGGACACGUGGUAUCCUGUCUGAAUAUGGGGGGACCAUCCUCCAAGGCUAAAUACUCCUGACUGACCGAUAGUGAACCAGUACCGUGAGGGAAAGGCGAAAAGAACCCCGGCGAGGGGAGUGAAAAAGAACCUGAAACCGUGUACGUACAAGCAGUGGGAGCCUCUUAAUGGGGUGACUGCGUACCUUUUGUAUAAUGGGUCAGCGACUUAUAUUCUGUAGCAAGGUUAACCGAAUAGGGGAGCCGAAGGGAAACCGAGUCUUAACUGGGCGUUAAGUUGCAGGGUAUAGACCCGAAACCCGGUGAUCUAGCCAUGGGCAGGUUGAAGGUUGGGUAACACUAACUGGAGGACCGAACCGACUAAUGUUGAAAAAUUAGCGGAUGACUUGUGGCUGGGGGUGAAAGGCCAAUCAAACCGGGAGAUAGCUGGUUCUCCCCGAAAGCUAUUUAGGUAGCGCCUCGUGAAUUCAUCUCCGGGGGUAGAGCACUGUUUCGGCAAGGGGGUCAUCCCGACUUACCAACCCGAUGCAAACUGCGAAUACCGGAGAAUGUUAUCACGGGAGACACACGGCGGGUGCUAACGUCCGUCGUGAAGAGGGAAACAACCCAGACCGCCAGCUAAGGUCCCAAAGUCAUGGUUAAGUGGGAAACGAUGUGGGAAGGCCCAGACAGCCAGGAUGUUGGCUUAGAAGCAGCCAUCAUUUAAAGAAAGCGUAAUAGCUCACUGGUCGAGUCGGCCUGCGCGGAAGAUGUAACGGGGCUAAACCAUGCACCGAAGCUGCGGCAGCGACACUAUGUGUUGUUGGGUAGGGGAGCG